UUAUCGUUUAUUUGAUAGUACCUUACUACAUGGAUAACCGUGGUAAUUCUAGAGCUAAUACAUGCUAAAAAUCCCGACUUCGGAAGGGAUGUAUUUAUUAGAUUAAAAACCAAUGCCCUUCGGGGCUCCUUGGUGAUUCAUAAUAACUUCUCGAAUCGCACGGCCUUGCGCCGGCGAUGGUUCAUUCAAAUUUCUGCCCUAUCAACUUUCGACGGCUGGGUCUUGGCCAGCCAUGGUGACAACGGGUAACGGAGGGUUAGGGCUCGACCCCGGAGAAGGAGCCUGAGAAACGGCUACUACAUCCAAGGAAGGCAGCAGGCGCGCAAAUUACCCAAUCCCGACUCGGGGAGGUAGUGACAAUAAAUACUGAUACAGGGCUCUUUUGGGUCUUGUAAUUGGAAUGAGUACAAUUUAAAUCCCUUAACGAGGAACAAUUGGAGGGCAAGUCUGGUGCCAGCAGCCGCGGUAAUUCCAGCUCCAAUAGCGUAUAUUAAAGUUGUUGAGGUUAAAAAGCUCGUAGUUGAACCUUGGGCCUAGCCGGCCGGUCCGCCUCACCGCGUGCACUGGCUCGGCUGGGCCUUUCCUUCUGGAGAACCGCAUGCCCUUUACUGGGUGUGCUGGGGAACCAGGACUUUUACUCUGAACAAAUUAGAUCGCUUAAAGAAGGCCUAUGCUCGAAUACAUUAGCAUGGAAUAAUAGAAUAGGACGUGUGGUUCUAUUUUGUUGGUUUCUAGGACCGCCGUAAUGAUUAAUAGGGACAGUCGGGGGCAUCAGUAUUCAAUUGUCAGAGGUGAAAUUCUUGGAUUUAUUGAAGACUAACUACUGCGAAAGCAUUUGCCAAGGAUGUUUU
RNAcentral lists this ribosomal RNA (851 nucleotides) under Cuspidatispora xiphiago. Its description in RNAcentral is "SSU rRNA". It matches the Rfam family "Eukaryotic small subunit ribosomal RNA", at positions 110 to 970 of the family's 1831-position model. Lineage: Eukaryota; Fungi; Ascomycota; Sordariomycetes; Sordariales. The record is from RNAcentral.